RNAcentral lists this ribosomal RNA (237 nucleotides) under Vibrio cholerae. Its description in RNAcentral is "partial 23S ribosomal RNA". It matches the Rfam family "Bacterial large subunit ribosomal RNA", at positions 1 to 235 of the family's 2925-position model. Lineage: Bacteria; Pseudomonadati; Pseudomonadota; Gammaproteobacteria; Vibrionales; Vibrionaceae. The record is from RNAcentral.
UGUAUGGUUAAGUGACUAAGCGUACACGGUGGAUGCCUGGGCAGUCAGAGGCGAUGAAGGACGUACUAACUUGCGAUAAGCGCAGAUAAGGCAGUAAGAGCCGUUUGAGUCUGCGAUUUCCGAAUGGGGAAACCCAACUGCAUAAGCAGUUACUGUUAACUGAAUACAUAGGUUAACAGAGCAAACCGGGGGAACUGAAACAUCUAAGUACCCCGAGGAGAAGAAAUCAACCGAGAU